RNAcentral lists this long non-coding RNA (626 nucleotides) under Homo sapiens (human). RNAcentral's name for it is "non-protein coding lnc-TNFRSF14-3:2". The record is from RNAcentral. Lineage: Eukaryota; Metazoa; Chordata; Mammalia; Primates; Hominidae.
UGGACACCGGGGUCAGGUGAGGCCACCUUUGGGUACAAAGACGCAAAGAUAAGGGCCGUGCGGACUUGUCCCCAGGAACAGUUCAGGUCAGGAUUGCAGCUGGAAAUUACAAGACAGAGCUGCAGAGACCAGGGAGUGGUGCAGAAGCUGAGCCCAGGAGAUGGCAUGCAGAGUCGCCCCAUGCCUCAAGUCUGCAGGUGAGACAGGAUGUGUCUUUCUGUAGAGCUUCAGCCAUUGAGAGAGAGUGGGGCGGGCAUGAGGCGUGCCAAUAGGUCAAUGAAACAGGAGCGGCCAGAGAGAGACCCAUUCACAGAUGAUGCAAGCAUUUCUGACAGAGGUGUCAAGGUAAUGCAAUGUGAAGAAGGUAGUCUUUUUGGCAAACAAUUUCUGGAAUACUGGAUAAAUGACAGGGGACAAUGGCCUUAAUCUUUACCUACACGACACAAAAAAUUAGCUUGAAACGAACGAUAGGCUUGAAUGUAAAGCUCAAACUAUAAGACUUCCUGCGAAAAACAUUGGAGAAAAUAUCUGUGACCUGGACGUGGGCAAAGAUUUCUUAGACAGGACGCAGAACACAAGAGCUACGAGAGAAAAUGUUUGAAAUUGGGACUUAUUGACAUUAGCAA